This 229-nucleotide ribosomal RNA is filed under the name uncultured bacterium. Its description in RNAcentral is "partial 16S ribosomal RNA". It matches the Rfam family "Bacterial small subunit ribosomal RNA", at positions 568 to 796 of the family's 1533-position model. The record is from RNAcentral.
UACGUAGGCGGAAAUCUAAGUCAGUGGUGAAAUCCCGCAGCGCAACUGUGGAACUGUCAUUGAUACUGGUUUUCUUGAAUAUAGUUGAGGUAGGCGGAAUGUGUAAUGUAGCGGUGAAAUGCUUAGAUAUUACACAGAACACCGAUUGCGAAGGCAGCUUACUAAACUAUGAUUGACGCUGAGGUACGAAAGCGUGGGGAGCGAACAGGAUUAGAUACCCUGGUAGUCC